GGAUUCCCCUAGUAACUGCGAGUGAAGCGGGAAAAGCUCAAAUUUAAAAUCUGGCAGUUCUUGCAGCUGUCCGAGUUGUAAUUUAGAGAAGCGUUAUCCGCGCUGGACCGUGUACAAGUCUCCUGGAACGGAGCGUCAUAGAGGGUGAGAAUCCCGUCCAUGGCACGGACUCCCAGUGCAUUGUGAUGCGCUCUCGAAGAGUCGAGUUGUUUGGGAAUGCAGCUCUAAAUGGGUGGUAAAUUCCAUCUAAAGCUAAAUAUAGGCGAGAGACCGAUAGCGAACAAGUACCGUGAGGGAAAGAUGAAAAGAACUUUGGAAAGAGAGUUAAACAGUACGUGAAAUUGUUGAAAGGGAAACGCUUGAAGUCAGUCGCGUUGUUCAGGGAUCAGCCUUGCUCUGCUUGGUGUACUUCCUGUUCAACGGGUCAGCAUCAGUUUCGACCGCUGGAAAAGGGACGCAGGAAUGUGGCAUCCUCGGAUGUGUUAUAGCCUGUGUUCGUAUACAGCGGUUGGGACUGAGGAAUCAGCACUCGAUGCUUGGGAUGCUGGCAUAAUGGCUUUAAGCGACCCGUCUUGAAACACGGACCAAGGAGUCUAACAUGCCCGCGAGUGUUUGGGUGGAAAACCCGGACGCGCAAUGAAAGUGAAAAGUUGGGAUCUCUGUCGUGGAGAGCACCGACGCCCGGACCUGAUGUUUUCGGAAGGAUCUGCGGUAGAGCGUGUAUGUUGGGACCCGAAAGAUGGUGAACUAUGCCUGAAUAGGGCGAAGCCAGAGGAAACUCUGGUGGAGGCUCGUAGCGAUUCUGACGUGCAAAUCGAUCGUCGAAUUUGGGUAUAGGGG
This 840-nucleotide ribosomal RNA is filed under the name Pterulicium secundirameum. Its description in RNAcentral is "Deflexula secundiramea partial large subunit ribosomal RNA". It matches the Rfam family "Eukaryotic large subunit ribosomal RNA", at positions 72 to 923 of the family's 3401-position model. The record is from RNAcentral. Lineage: Eukaryota; Fungi; Basidiomycota; Agaricomycetes; Agaricales; Pterulaceae.